Molecule: ribosomal RNA, 464 nt
Filed under: Vreelandella stevensii
Lineage: Bacteria; Pseudomonadati; Pseudomonadota; Gammaproteobacteria; Oceanospirillales; Halomonadaceae
Description: partial 16S ribosomal RNA
Rfam family: Bacterial small subunit ribosomal RNA
Source: RNAcentral
CCACGGGCGGCUGCAGUGGGGAAUAUUGGACAAUGGGCGAAAGCCUGAUCCAGCCAUGCCGCGUGUGUGAAGAAGGCCUUCGGGUUGUAAAGCACUUUCAGUGGGGAAGAAAGCCUUGGGGCUAAUACCCUCGAGGAAGGACAUCACCCACAGAAGAAGCACCGGCUAACUCCGUGCCAGCAGCCGCGGUAAUACGGAGGGUGCGAGCGUUAAUCGGAAUUACUGGGCGUAAAGCGCGCGUAGGCGGUCUGAUAAGCCGGUUGUGAAAGCCCCGGGCUCAACCUGGGAACGGCAUCCGGAACUGUCAGGCUAGAGUGCAGGAGAGGAAGGUAGAAUUCCCGGUGUAGCGGUGAAAUGCGUAGAGAUCGGGAGGAAUACCAGUGGCGAAGGCGGCCUUCUGGACUGACACUGACGCUGAGGUGCGAAAGCGUGGGUAGCAAACAGGAUUAGAUACCCUGGUAGUC